RNAcentral lists this ribosomal RNA (253 nucleotides) under uncultured bacterium. Its description in RNAcentral is "partial 16S ribosomal RNA". It matches the Rfam family "Bacterial small subunit ribosomal RNA", at positions 524 to 776 of the family's 1533-position model. The record is from RNAcentral.
UACGAAGGGGGCUAGCGUUGUUCGGAAUCACUGGGCUUAAAGCGUGUGUAGGCGGGCCCGUAAGUGUCUUGUGAAAUCCCACGGCUCAACCGUGGAACUGCUGGGCAUACUGCGGGUCUUGGGCCAACUAGGGGCAGCCGGAACAAGCGGUGGAGCGGUGAAAUGCGUAGAUAUCGCUUGGAACGCCGAAGGUGAAAACAGGCUGCUGGGGUUGCGCCGACGCUGAGACACGAAAGCCAGGGGAGCGAACGGG